UAGAUACCCUGGUAGUCCACGCCCUAAACGAUGAACACUCGCUGUUGGCGGUACACAGUCAGCGGCUAAGCGAAAGCGUUAAGUGUUCCACCUGGGGAGUACGCCCGCAAGGGUGAAACUCAAAGGAAUUGACGGGGGCCCGCACAAGCGGAGGAGCAUGUGGUUUAAUUCGAUGAUACGCGAGGAACCUUACCCGGGCUUGAAAGUUAGUGAAUUAUCUAGAGAUAGAUAAGUGAGCAAUCACACGAAA
RNAcentral lists this ribosomal RNA (250 nucleotides) under uncultured bacterium. Its description in RNAcentral is "partial 16S ribosomal RNA". It matches the Rfam family "Bacterial small subunit ribosomal RNA", at positions 779 to 1033 of the family's 1533-position model. The record is from RNAcentral.